RNAcentral lists this unclassified non-coding RNA (280 nucleotides) under plant metagenome. Its description in RNAcentral is "partial contains small subunit ribosomal RNA, internal transcribed spacer 1, and 5.8S ribosomal RNA". The record is from RNAcentral.
UUUCCGUAGGUGAACCUGCGGAAGGAUCAUUACUGAGGUAUGCUUGGUGUCGCGUCAGCGCGCCGGUUACCCGCCCAUUUGUCAUACGUGCUGGAGUCCUCCCGCCUUCUGGCGGGGGGAGGACAGUGAUAUCGCUUCGGUCGAGGUGUUGCGUCCGGUCCCUGCUCUGCAGGCCGGAUGUGUCCGCGACCGGCCGUAUUUUACACUCUUUGUGAGAACAUGAAGUCUGAAGCAAUAUGAAAAUAUAGCAAAACUUUCAACAACGGAUCUCUUGGCUCUG